GAUGAACGCUGGCGGCGUGCCUAAUACAUGCAAGUCGAGCGAACAGACGAGGAGCUUGCUCCUCUGACGUUAGCGGCGGACGGGUGAGUAACACGUGGAUAACCUACCUAUAAGACUGGGAUAACUUCGGGAAACCGGAGCUAAUACCGGAUAAUAUAUUGAACCGCAUGGUUCAAUAGUGAAAGACGGUUUUGCUGUCACUUAUAGAUGGAUCCGCGCCGCAUUAGCUAGUUGGUAAGGUAACGGCUUACCAAGGCAACGAUGCGUAGCCGACCUGAGAGGGUGAUCGGCCACACUGGAACUGAGACACGGUCCAGACUCCUACGGGAGGCAGCAGUAGGGAAUCGUCCGCAAUGGGCGAAAGCCUGACGGAGCAACGCCGCGUGAGUGAUGAAGGUCUUCGGAUCGUAAAACUCUGUUAUUAGUGAAGAACAAAUGUGUAAGUAACUAUGCACUUCUUGACGGUACCUAAUCAGAAAGCCACGGCUAACUACGUG
This 497-nucleotide ribosomal RNA is filed under the name uncultured bacterium. RNAcentral describes it as "partial 16S ribosomal RNA". It matches the Rfam family "Bacterial small subunit ribosomal RNA", at positions 28 to 507 of the family's 1533-position model. The record is from RNAcentral.